RNAcentral lists this long non-coding RNA (1163 nucleotides) under Sus scrofa (pig). Its description in RNAcentral is "lncRNA (ENSSSCG00015028154.1)". Lineage: Eukaryota; Metazoa; Chordata; Mammalia; Artiodactyla; Suidae. The record is from RNAcentral.
GGGGGGGGGGGGGGGGAGAGGGAAGAGGAGUGGAGUGGAGGGUCCAGGGCCAUGAAUGGUGAGGACCCUUCCUUGUCAUCAGGGUGUGGCUCCACCACCCUCUUUAAAUGCUCGUGCACACACGCACAUUUUAUAAAAGCUCUGACUCAGCCCAGCUGCUGCCUGAAGACUGGGAAAGCCAGGUCCUGUCAUGGGCCCACCCAACCCUGAUCCCCUACAAGCAAUUUUCAAAUCUUCCACUUUUAAAAUGGAAAACGGUAAAUGUGCCAGGUUGCAUAUUUUAUUUCAAUAAAAAAAAAAUUCUAGCAGAAGCUGCCUUCUUCUAGGGGCAGGGAUUGGGAGGGGGAGUGACAGUAGUGGGGAAUGCUGGAGGCUCAGGAGCCAGGUGGUGGAGAGCAGUGGGGACAUGGUCCCUAGAGCACCUGGGCGCUUGUGUGCACAGGCAUGUGCUCCCAGAGCAGGGAGUGAAGGUGCAAGGGAGUGCGAGUUUGGGCUAGAGAUAAAAGUGUUCACUGGUUAUGGGCUGGUGAGAGUCAUUAAGGAGGAGGAUGAGAGAGGAGGGUGUGUGUGCUAGUGGAGGUGCAAGACUCUGACUUGGGUCCUUCCCACCCCAGCUGUGGGGGCCACAGAGUCCCUGGGACUCGUUGGUCUCCCUGGAGGAUGAGGGUAUUCAGUGUGCACGUGCACGCUAGGUGGAUACUGAAGAGGCAGAUGUAAUCUUAGUCUGAUCAGAUGGGCCCUCAGAAGAUGGAGGGUGGCCAGAGGACAAAAGGUGACCAGGCUCAGGGGAGGGUGUCAUGGCCAGAAGGUUGCUUUUCAGAGUGACCAAGGAGGGGGCACAACCACCAGGUUCCUGCAGGGUUUGGAGGUGUGGCACCCACUCGCCAUCGUGGUGUCUGGGGGGGGGGGCAGCAGGGGAGACACACCUGACCCACAGACCCUCUGUGAAGCCCUCAGCCACCUCUGUCACCUCUGUCCACAGAGGGUCCCCAAGUGCCCUGGGAGCUGAACCUUGCAGGCACAUAGGCGAGAGGCAGUGCCCUGAGACUGGAAAAGCGAAGUCCCUGGGGCUCCCAGCGUGUGCGAGGAGUGCCGUGUUGCCUGCCAGCAGGAAGAGGGGAAAGUCCUCAGAAAAGGGCAGGGAACCCGGUCCUCAUCACUGA